GGGCGCUUAGCUCAGUUGGUAGAGCAACUGACUUUUAAUCAGCAGGUCCAGGGUUCGAAUCCCUGAGCGCCCACCA
This 76-nucleotide transfer RNA is filed under the name Alphaproteobacteria bacterium. RNAcentral's name for it is "tRNA-Lys". It matches the Rfam family "tRNA". From Rfam's summary of the family: Transfer RNA (tRNA) molecules are approximately 80 nucleotides in length. RNAcentral also lists the same sequence under 1 other name. The record is from RNAcentral. Lineage: Bacteria; Pseudomonadati; Pseudomonadota; Alphaproteobacteria.